RNAcentral lists this long non-coding RNA (277 nucleotides) under Elaeis guineensis (African oil palm). Its description in RNAcentral is "long non-coding RNA (EGUI_LNC003869)". The record is from RNAcentral. Lineage: Eukaryota; Viridiplantae; Streptophyta; Magnoliopsida; Arecales; Arecaceae.
CAGGAAGUGGAGCAGGGCGGCUAUGGUUACAGCGGCUUGUCAGGGAAUGAUGGUGCUGCGCGGAGUCCGCCACAGGAAGUGGAGCAGGGUCGUGGUCGUUUUGAGGGCCUGUCAGGGGGCGUGGAUCUGUCGAUUGAAGCUCGGUAACGGCCGGAGCCCAGUUUCUGUUGAGGUGCGGGUGAGGUCCUCCUGGCGGUAGGGGUCGUGGGCAGAGCCCGGCUCCCGUAGGAGUCCGGGCGGAGCUGCUCUGAUGUCGACGGUGGAGUCUGGCUCCCGU